RNAcentral lists this ribosomal RNA (460 nucleotides) under uncultured bacterium. RNAcentral describes it as "partial 16S ribosomal RNA". It matches the Rfam family "Bacterial small subunit ribosomal RNA", at positions 338 to 795 of the family's 1533-position model. The record is from RNAcentral.
CCUACGGGGGGCAGCAGUGAGGAAUAUUGGUCAAUGGACGAGAGUCUGAACCAGCCAAGUAGCGUGAAGGAUGACUGCCCUAUGGGUUGUAAACUUCUUUUAUAUGGGAAUAAAAUGUUCCACGUGUGGGAUUUUGUAUGUACCAUAUGAAUAAGGAUCGGCUAACUCCGUGCCAGCAGCCGCGGUAAUACGGAGGAUCCGAGCGUUAUCCGGAUUUAUUGGGUUUAAAGGGAGCGUAGGUGGAUGGUUAAGUCAGUUGUGAAAGUUUGCGGCUCAACCGUAAAAUUGCAGUUGAAACUGGCAGUCUUGAGUACAGUAGAGGUGGGCGGAAUGCGUGGUGUAGCGGUGAAAUGCUUAGAUAUCACGAAGAACUCCGAUUGCGAAGGCAGUUCACUGGACUGCAACUGACACUGAGGCUCGAAAGUGUGGGUAUCAAACAGGAUUAGAUACCCCUGUAGUC